GGAUGCGAUCAUACCAGCACUAAAGCACCGGAUCCCAUCAGAACUCCGAAGUUAAGCGUGCUUGGGCGAGAGUAGUACUAGGAUGGGUGACCACCUGGGAAGUCCUCGUGUUGCAUUCC
This 119-nucleotide ribosomal RNA is filed under the name Triticum aestivum (bread wheat). Lineage: Eukaryota; Viridiplantae; Streptophyta; Magnoliopsida; Poales; Poaceae. The record is from RNAcentral.